Pelobates cultripes (western spadefoot toad) is the source of this 229-nucleotide non-coding RNA. NCBI's taxonomy places the organism in Eukaryota, Metazoa, Chordata, Amphibia, Anura, Pelobatidae. The record is from the annotation of a GenBank genome assembly.
CAGCGUUAAAAUAGUAAUAUUUUUAUUAUUAUGCAUAAGUGUGGGUGGUGUUAAGGGGGAUUUUAUCAUUAUUUCCUCUCUAGUGCAGAUAAAUAGGGAACGUUAACCCUUUCACCACCACAACUACGUCACGCAUACUCUUGAAGUAGGGUGCGUUUGUGACAGACAGUAGGGAGAUUUUAACCAUUCUUAUACUAAGAUAGGGGUCAUAUUGACCCCAUAAAGUAAG